Molecule: long non-coding RNA, 1173 nt
Filed under: Lonchura striata (white-rumped munia)
Lineage: Eukaryota; Metazoa; Chordata; Aves; Passeriformes; Estrildidae
Description: domestica (Bengalese finch) lncRNA (ENSLSDG00000003060.1)
Source: RNAcentral
CCCAGCGCCGCCGCGGGCCCGGCCGCGGCUGCCUCGGCCCGGCGCGGCGCCUUUCCCCGGCAGUUUCCUGCGGAGCUGCGCUGGGCCGGCUCCGCCGCAGCUCCCGCUGUGUCGGGGACGGGCGCCCGCAGAAAAGCCUCCCCGGAGCCCGGCUGGCCUCAGAGCUCGCACGGGCGCUCCACCCGCACCAGGUGUUGGGGCCCGAGCCCUUCCAGCCCUGCGGACCCUGGGACGAGUCCUCUGGUCCCCAAACAGAUGCUGACAUACUCCCCCUGAGAACCUGUACCAGUGCUUUAGGCCUUUUUAUUUCAACGAUAUAAAGUGUGGCUAUGGUAGUGCAUUGGGUUGAGAUCCUUACCCUGGCUGAGCUACAGACCUGUGCCUUACCUUUUCCUUAUCAACUCCUUUGUUGGAAUUAUUAUAAUUGUAAUUCCCAUUUGCCUAUCACUCUGGCUCUUAAUGAACGCCUGAGGAUGAGUAGUAUCAUGUGGGGUGUGCCUGGAAUGAGAGAAAUGGAUGUCACAGAAAAUGGCUGUGAGCCAGCACCUACCAGGAAGAGGACACAGAACAUCUCAAGUCCAUCACUACUAAGUCAUGAGGUGGAUUUCCAUGGCACAAAAUGCUCUGCUCUCUUUGGUUUGUCCACUGGAUCAACAAGCACUUGUCUUCCUGGAUCCUCAGGGAUCCUGCCAGAUACUGACAGUUACAGCUAGAGUGGUACAAAACUGGUGGCAUGUCAUCAAGCUAGGGAUAGGAAAUUAUACCUGCCCUGAAGGUGUAAUGUUUUCAUAUCUGUUCCAUGCUGCCGAGGCUGUUUUAAUUAUUGCGCAUUGUAUAAAAUUUCUAAAAGUAAAAUUUAUCUGAAGUGUACAAGUGAAAUCUGAUUAAUAUAAAACACAGUCAUGUUUUCACAAAUCAGCAUACUAAUUCAGACCACAGUACAGAGAGGAGAAAAAAAGGAUAAUCAUAAACCAUGGAACAAAACUGCUGUCAAGAGAUUUGUAGAAUAAUCAAAGUUACUUCAACAUUCAAUGGAGUUUAAAACCAUGAAAAGUCAGAUUUUCUUGUGCAUAAAGAAAACCCUGUAAUCCAAUAUAUCCUUUAACUAUGACACAGUCUGUGCAGCAGAAGCAUGAAAAUAAAAGGAGAGCCUGUGAUAAAUGGUUUGAAGAA